This is a long non-coding RNA of Sceloporus undulatus (fence lizard), 571 nucleotides long. RefSeq lists it as uncharacterized. The record is from RefSeq and is a predicted model, not a curated record. The transcript is spliced from 2 exons. Lineage: Eukaryota; Metazoa; Chordata; Lepidosauria; Squamata; Phrynosomatidae.
UCCCCGGGAGGAAGAGGAGGAAGAGGAGGAGGAGAGCCCCCCGGGGGCAGAGCCGGAACGCCGGGAACAGCAGCCCCCGCCCAAGGACGGCCCCCGGGAACGCCGCGCCUCCUGAGGAAGGCAGACGGACGGAGACCAGAAUCUGGAUGGCAAACAAGAUCAAGUGCCUUGGACUGAGAUUUGCAAUGGAACAGGGUACCAAUGAAGGAAAGCAAGACAGGGUGCCAGAAGUUUGCAGAGUUUCAUCAAAUCUGAAGUGGCUGAGCAGAAUAGCCAAGUUUUCACUGAAAGGCAUUUACUGACCAAAGAGACUUAGAAAACAUGCAGUCUGGCUAACUGAAAACAAGACCAGCUUGCAAACUACUAUUUCAUUUUCUAUUUAUAAAGAUGCAAAGACUGCUCUACUCCUCUAGAUGGGGAAAAACAGUUUAAGUUAUUUGUAGGAUCUGUCUUUUGUAUUUAUUUUUGAUGACUGCUUUUAAAGGAAGCAUCUGUCUUUAUAUUGCCUUUUUUUUUUUUGCUUUGAUGUGGCCAUUCCAAAUAAAUUAUGUGAAAUGUUCACUUUAUUUUA